RNAcentral lists this ribosomal RNA (439 nucleotides) under uncultured bacterium. RNAcentral describes it as "partial 16S ribosomal RNA". It matches the Rfam family "Bacterial small subunit ribosomal RNA", at positions 339 to 795 of the family's 1533-position model. The record is from RNAcentral.
CUACGGGGGGCUGCAGUGGGGAAUAUUGGACAAUGGGGGAAACCCUGAUCCAGCAAUGCCGCGUGUGUGAAGAAGGCCUUAGGGUUGUAAAGCACUUUCACCCGUGAAGAUGAUGACGGUAGCGGGAGAAGAAGCCCCGGCUAACUCCGUGCCAGCAGCCGCGGUAAUACGGAGGGGGCUAGCGUUGUUCGGAAUUACUGGGCGUAACGCGCGCGUAGGCGGCGCAUCGAGUUAGGCGUGAAAGGCCUGGGCUUAACCUGGGAACUGCGCUUAAUACUGGUGUGCUUGAGUCCGGAAGGGGGUGGCGGAAUCCCCAGUGUAGAGGUGAAAUUCGUAGAUAUUGGGAAGAACACCGGUGGCGAAGGCGGCCACCUGGUCCGGAACUGACGCUGAGGUGCGAAAGCGUGGGGAGCAAACAGGAUUAGAUACCCGGGUAGUC